UGCAGGUAAGAGUCCUUAGUCCG
This 23-nucleotide unclassified non-coding RNA is filed under the name Mus musculus (house mouse). RNAcentral's name for it is "oocyte_clustered_small_RNA2618". The record is from RNAcentral. Lineage: Eukaryota; Metazoa; Chordata; Mammalia; Rodentia; Muridae.